This 25-nucleotide transfer RNA is filed under the name Chamaecrista nictitans var. jaliscensis. RNAcentral describes it as "partial tRNA-Thr". The record is from RNAcentral. Lineage: Eukaryota; Viridiplantae; Streptophyta; Magnoliopsida; Fabales; Fabaceae. RNAcentral also lists the same sequence under 2 other names.
GCCCUUUUAACUCAGUGGUAGAGUA